This is a long non-coding RNA of Zophobas morio, 501 nucleotides long. RefSeq lists it as uncharacterized. NCBI's taxonomy places the organism in Eukaryota, Metazoa, Arthropoda, Insecta, Coleoptera, Tenebrionidae. The record is from RefSeq and is a predicted model, not a curated record. The transcript is spliced from 5 exons.
AGACGUUGAUGGCUCCAUGACCCGUAUUAGUGUCGAUCCCGUAUUACUGCAAAGGUCUAAGGAUUUUCUUAGUCAAAGGUACUCGAACUACAAACCAAUCGCAGAAUUUUUCAACGUCAAUAAAUUUUCAGUCCCUGAAAGCUUAUUGCUUAUCAAAAAAAGAGUUGGACAUAAUUUGGAGUAUUUUUCUUCAAAUUAUUUACUUAUAGUGGCUAUCCUUGUGGUAUAUUGCCUGUUUACCACGCCUUUACUUUUGGUCCCCAUUCUAAUUCUUACUUUUGGUUUUUUAUUCUCCAAGUUUUUGUCUAAUUCUGGUAAAUUAUGUUUUCAUGGUAGAAGAAUCAGUGAAAAGGAAGUGAUUCUAUUAUGCGCUCUGUUAUCCUUACCUUUUUAUUUCAUAGCCUCCGCAGGAACGUUGUUUUUUUGGCUUAUAGGCCUCUCGACGUGCAUUAUUAUAGUACACGCUUCCUUAUUAAGUACUCUGAAUGAGCACUUACUUGU